CUAGCUUUUAUGAUAAGUGACGCAGUAUCCUAGUCAGAUAAACCUUUUUGAAGGCGGGCCUAAAAAUCCGUCAAGGGCACAUCGAUGAAGUUCCUGGUGCUGGCUAUCGACGCCCAGUCGGGGGCUGGUACUGGGAGUUAAGGGGGUGGGGCGACCUGCAAUGGCAUGUGGGCGUUGACCCCGCCCCCGUGGAGACCCAAGUGCGUGGGCAGCCAUGCCGGCUUUACCGGGUGGUCAACUAUGGCUUGGGAUUAAACCUGCAUGUGGUUAAAAGCUGCGUGCAGCGUAGCCUGCCUUGAGUGGUAUGGGUGGAUAUCGGUAUUACAUACGCGUCCGCCAUGGGCCCGUGGACGGCCGUGUGGUGAUUGAAACCUAUACUGCAAAAGAGGCUAGAAAAGGUGUAAUCUGUCGAGGAAAACUCCUAGGCUGUCUGGGGUACCAGGGCGGGCCGGGGAUUAAAGUGUGGACUAAGUGGUAAUCUAGCCCCGGUGCGGCAACGAUCGGAGACAGCUUUAAAGGGAAACCGCCGGUUUGGCGACAGCCGGUAGCUGUUUGGGAAAACCUGCUAGACCUAAGCCACAAUAUUUACCCGGUCCGCUGUCACUUAUCUAAUAAUACCG
RNAcentral lists this small RNA (620 nucleotides) under Pelotomaculum thermopropionicum SI. The record is from RNAcentral. Lineage: Bacteria; Bacillati; Bacillota; Clostridia; Eubacteriales; Desulfotomaculaceae.